UAAGAAUAAUAAAAUAGGAUUUAAACAAAAGAUGGCUUAUGUGGGAUACCUUGGCACUUAGAGACGAAGAAGGGCGGAGUUACUACCGAAAUGCUUUGGGGAAUGAGAAACACGUUUAGAUCCAAAGAUUCCCGAAUAGGUAAACCUAUAAAGCUUUAAUUAAAUAAAUAGAUUGAUAGUAGUAAACUUGGUGAACUGAAACAUCUUAGUAACCAAAGGAAAAGAAAGCAACAGCGAUUUUCUUAUUAGCGGCGAGCUAACUGAAAAUAGCCUAAACCUUAUAGGGGUAGAGGGAAUAUUAAAAAACGAACAAAUUUAAAUUUUGAAAAUGCUGAACACAUUACUAUAAAAGGUUGAAAGUCCUGUAAAAAGAUAAAUUUGUUAAAAAAAUAUUUCCCGAGUAGCAUAGAGCACGUGAAAUUCUGUGUGAAUCAGCGAGGACCACCUCGUAAGGCUAAAUACUACUAAGUGACCGAUAGUGAACUAGUACCGUGAGGGAAAGGUGAAAAGAACCUUGAAAAAGGAGUGAAAUAGAUUAUGAAAGCAUAAGCUUACAAGCAGUGGGAGGUUUAUUUAAAGAUUGACCGCGUGCCUGUUGAAGAAUGUGCCGGCGACUUAUAAGUAGUGGCUUGGUUAAGGUUUUUGUUCUGGAGCCAUAGAGAAAUCGAGUUUGAAUAAAGCAUUUGUCACUAUUUAUAGACCCGAACCCGUAUGAUCUAACUAUGACCAGGAUGAAGCUUGAGUAAUACUAAGUGGAAGACCGAACCCACCAAUGUUGAAAAAUUGGGGGAUGAGUUGUAGUUAGGGGAGAAAUUCCAAUCGAAUACGGAGCUAGCUGGAUCUCUUCGAAAUGCGUUGAGGCGCAGCGGUUAAUUAUGCUAAACUCAGGGGUAAAGCACUGUUUCGAUACGGGCGAUGAAAAUUGUACCAAAUUGAUGCAAACUCUGAAUACUGAGUCAUGUUUCAAUUAACCAGUAAGGCAGUGGGGGAUAAGCUUCAUUGCCAAGAGGGAAACAGCCCAGAUCACCAUUUAAGGCCCCUAAAUAAUUGCUAAGUGAAAAAGGAUGUAAUCAUACAUAGACAACCAGGAGGUUUGCUUAGAAGCAGCAAUCCUUUAAAAAGUGCGUAAUAGCUUACUGGUCAAGUGUUUUUGCGCCGAAAAUGAACGGGACUAAGCAAUUUGCCGAAGAUGUGAGAUUCUUUAUAAGAAUCGGUAGAAGAGCGUUCUGUAUUAGUUAGAAGCAAUAGUGAAAACAGUUGUGGACUAAUCAGAAGUGAGAAUGUCGGCUUAAGUAACGAAAAUGUUGGUGAGAAUCCAAUACCCCGAAAACCUAAGGGUUCCUUCGCAAGGUUCGUCCGCGAAGGGUUAGUCAGGUCCUAAAACGAGGUUUAAAAACGUAGUUGAUGGCAAACAGGUUAAUAUUCCUGUACUACUUUUUGUUAGAUUUAGAGUGACGAAGCUGGCUAAAUCAGCCAAAGACUGGUUGUUUUGGUUUAAUCUUUUAAGGUGUAGAGAAAUAUUAUAAUAAAAAAUAUUUUGAGCUGAGAAGAGAGUACGAGAGAUAUUACGGUAUUACAAGUGAUUGAUGUCAUACUUCCAAGAAAAACUCUUAAAAUUACUGGAAAAAGUACCUGUACCACAAACUGACACAGGUAGGUAGGUAGAAAAUACUAAGGGGCGCGAGAUAACUCUUUCUAAGGAACUCGGCAAAAUAAUUCUGUAACUUCGGAAGAAAGAAUGCCUCUCGUUACAACAGUGAUUGAGAGGUCGCAGUAAUAAGACCCAGGCGACUGUUUACCAAAAACACAGGUCUCCGCUAAGUUGAAAAACGAUGUAUGGGGGCUGACGCCUGCCCAGUGCCGGAAGGUUAAAGAAGUUGGUUAGUGUUUGCGAAGCUGAUGACUGAAGCCCUGGUGAACGGCGGCCGUAACUAUAACGGUCCUAAGGUAGCGAAAUUCCUUGUCAGGUAAGUUCUGACCCGCACGAAAGGCGUAACGAUCUGGGUACUGUCUCAGAAAGAGACUCGGUGAAAUAGAACUGACUGUGAAGAUGCGGUCAUCUCGCACUUGGACAGAAAGACCCUAUGAAGCUUUACUGUAAUUUGAUAUUGUUUUUGGAUUUUCCUUGCGCAGCAUAGGUGGGAGGCGAUGAACCUCUUUUUUGGAAGUAGGUGAGCCGUAAUAUGAGAUACCACUCUGGGAAGAUUAGAAGUCUAAUAGUAUACUAUAAUCUAGAUACUUGACAGUUUCAGAUGGGCAGUUUUACUGGGGCGGUAGCCUCCUAAAAAGUAACGGAGGCGUACAAAGGUUUUCUCAUUCUAGACGGAAAUUAGUUGUCGAGUGUAAAGGCAUAAGAAAGCUUGACUGUGAGACUUACAAGUCGAGCAGAGACGAAAGUCGGUCUUAGUGAUCCGACGGUUCUGAGUGGAAAGGCCGUCGCUCAACGGAUAAAAGUUACUCUAGGGAUAACAGGCUGAUCUCCCCCAAGAGUCCACAUCGACGGGGAGGUUUGGCACCUCGAUGUCGGCUCAUCGCAUCCUGGAGCGGUAGUACGUUCCAAGGGUUGGGCUGUUCGCCCAUUAAAGCGGUACGUGAGCUGGGUUCAGAACGUCGAGAGACAGUUCGGUCCAUAUCCGGUGUGAGUGUUGGAGUAUUGAAAAGAUCUUUCCUUAGUACGAGAGGACCGGGAAGGGCACACCUCUGAUCUGCCAGUUUUUGUGCCAACAGAAUACGCUGGGUAGUCACGUGUGGAGGAGAUAACUGCUGAAAGCAUAUAAGUAGGAAGCCCACUUUAAAAUGAGUACUCUCUUAAGGUCACAAUUAGACUAAUUGUUUGAUAGGUAUCAGGUGUACAAUCAGUAAUGAUUUUAGCUGAGAUAUACUAAUAGACCGUGCGUUUAAACCUA
Molecule: ribosomal RNA, 2906 nt
Filed under: Colacium mucronatum
Lineage: Eukaryota; Euglenozoa; Euglenophyceae; Euglenales; Euglenaceae
Description: 23S ribosomal RNA
Rfam family: Bacterial large subunit ribosomal RNA
Source: RNAcentral